Molecule: transfer RNA, 75 nt
Filed under: Bacteroides sp.
Lineage: Bacteria; Pseudomonadati; Bacteroidota; Bacteroidia; Bacteroidales; Bacteroidaceae
Description: tRNA-Gly
Rfam family: tRNA
About the family: Transfer RNA (tRNA) molecules are approximately 80 nucleotides in length. Their secondary structure includes four short double-helical elements and three loops (D, anti-codon, and T loops).
Source: RNAcentral
GCGGAUUUAGCUCAUCCGGUAGAGCGUCGGCUUCCCAAGCCGAAUGGGCGGGUUCGAGUCCCGUAAUCCGCUCCA